Molecule: ribosomal RNA, 301 nt
Filed under: uncultured bacterium
Lineage: Bacteria
Description: partial 16S ribosomal RNA
Rfam family: Bacterial small subunit ribosomal RNA
Source: RNAcentral
CAGUCGCCGCGGGAAUACAGAGGGUGCAAGCGUUAAUCGGAAUUACUGGGCGUAAAGCGCGCGUAGGUGGUUUGUUAAGUUGGAUGUGAAAGCCCCGGGCUCAACCUGGGAACUGCAUCCAAAACUGGCAAGCUAGAGUACGGUAGAGGGUGGUGGAAUUUCCUGUGUAGCGGUGAAAUGCGUAGAUAUAGGAAGGAACACCAGUGGCGAAGGCGACCACCUGGACUGAUACUGACACUGAGGUGCGAAAGCGUGGGGAGCAAACAGGAUUAGAUACCCCGGUAGUCCCUGUCUCUUAUAC